Molecule: non-coding RNA, 5539 nt
Organism: Lolium perenne
Lineage: Eukaryota; Viridiplantae; Streptophyta; Magnoliopsida; Poales; Poaceae
Source: RefSeq, a predicted model, not a curated record
GUAAAAACUUUCUCACCUGUACGUCUUCUGAGACAGUCCAUGACGAGUAGGACCAGCAACCUGCGGGGCCGAGUGUGUGAGACAGGCGCGCACUCUCCUUCGCGUCAGCUUUCUAUGCGCGUGAGGGCCGGGUGAAAACCUAGAUCGGGCCAACGCUCUCCAAUCAGUCUUCUCUCCUCCCCCAAUCCCCACCUCCUCCUCUCCUCUCCAAUGGCAGCCUCCUCUCCUCCCUCAUUUCCGUUUAUUCUCUCUCCCCCUCUACAGCGGGAGUGGCGCUCGAGUGACGCGAGCCAGCGGCGGCAGGGACAUUGUGCCGAGGCGGCUGGAGGCGGGAGCCGGCGGCGGCAGGGACUGCGCGCCUACUGGCGGCGUUCGGCGCGUCGAGGACGGCCGCCGCCGCCGGGGCUGACGACCGGACGUGCGGGGACGGAUCCGCCGACCGUUUCGUGGGCAGCGACGACCGCUACCAGGCCGGCGACGCGGCGAGCCUCAUGGGAGGGUUUGUGUUGAUUUUAUUCAGCGGUGGAGGCUCGCCGGCCGGCCGACAUGCCUAGGAGAUGCGGGUCAGGCGACAGCACGGGGCUGAGGGUUUGUGGCCGGUGGUGUGAUGGAGGCCAAGAGGAGGAGCUGCAACGAUGUGAGUGGAGCAGAUAUGGAUCAAACAUGCAUAUACGGGAGAAAGAAGGUGCUCAUGAGACUCGCUGCAAUGUCAAGGUCAGAAUCUCCUGCUCCUCGCACAAUUUUUCUGCUAACUAUUCUUCCAACUGCCGAACGAAAGACACUGGGCUCUCUAAUUAUUUCUGAAUCAACCAAAUGGAUCUGGGCACUGCCAGUGCAUUCUUCUCUCCCUGCAUGAAAGCCAAAAUCAUUGGAAAUUAUCCUUUGGCGUUUGGCACAGAUUGCCUGGCUACUGGUCACCAUCUGCAGCGAUACCUCAUUCCAGCUAGCCACUUAUCAUGAGCUUCUGUUGCACAAAGAUCUGCAGAUGGAUUUUGCUUGUUCUUCUUCAGUCUCUAGGCUAUGGAGUGUCAAAACGUAUCUUGGAGAUUAUCAGCUUAAGGAAUUUAUGAACUUCAGUCCACAUUAAAUUGCGACUUGGAUAACCCAGUUAAAAGGUUCACUUCCAAUCAUUCUCUUCAAUUCUUAUCCUUUUCCUUCCAAUGAUUGAAGAAGCCAUUUUCUUAUCCUUUCAAUCUCAUGCUCCUUAUAGAUGGAUGAUAUAUGUAUCAGGUAGUAAGUUGGUUAAUAUAUUUGAGGGUUGCAGCAGGCACAAAACAAUUUGGUGCUUAGCUUCCAUAUUUUUUCCAAAAUAAUCAAUUUAACAUCUUUCAUCUGAUUAUACUAUCUUUUCUGCUUUCUUGGUGUGUGUAUUGUUAGAAGUAAUAACUUGCUUAUAUACUUGCACUAACUUUGGACAUGAUUAUACUAUCUCAUAACUUGUUGACUCUAGAGCUUUCUCUGUAAAUUAGUUAUGUAUUUGACUGGCCUAACAAUUCUUGGAUAUUCUUUGGACAUGGGAAGGAGUAUAUUAAUUUGGCCGAUGAGCAUUUAUAGAAGUUGAUAUACAGUGGCCAGCUUGAUCAGAAGGAACUGGACAGUAUGCAAAAAAAUCAUUCCUGCUGUCAGAGCUUGCACGAAAGCGAGGCCACAAAUGCAGUUCUUCUGUAAGACACUCAUUGCGAGUGAUGCAAGCACACAUGGAGGCUCCUCUGUGCCUUGCCGUGCUGCGGAGAAGAUAUCCCUGCCCUGUUUGUCUACUCAUCAGGUUUAAAUGCGAUUCAAAGAUAUAGCAGUCCAUGUGCUGACAUGGAAAAAAACUGUACGUAAGGUUUAGUUUGAAUACUAAGAGAUGUCUGGAACGGUUCUGAUCCUCUAGAGUAUAAUAUUGCUGGUAUUCAGAUCCGUUCUUGCAUAUCGAGUUCUUAAACUUACGCCUAUGUUGGGUCAAGGAGAAGCAGAUUGCGGUAUAUGAAUGAUAUUCAUGCCCUGGUGAUUUCUUAAUAUCUUUCUUUUAUUUUCACAUGCACAUACUGUCAUUUAUUAUCUCUAUGCAAAGCAUGAUGAUUUAAUCAAUAAUUAUGUCCUGGCUUAUUUUUGUUUUAUCCUUGGAGUGCUGCAGUUUGUACUCAAUGCUUGGCUUCUUUCAGAUGCUCUUAUUUCUCCUUGUAGGACAAUGGCAUGCGGGAUUAAAGUGCAUAGGAUGAUUUCCCUUGAAUAACAGACGACACGAUGCAGUACAAACUACUACAGUAGCAGCACUCAUGUUGUGACCUCUUUCAUUCUGUUUUUCCAAUUCUCUGUAUGAAUUUGUGAGGAGCUCAUGUAGUUAUGUAAAGUUUCUUUAGGGCAAAAAAUAAUUCUGUGACCUUUGAUGCCGUAUGCCUGCGGUGGAAGCUAGCACUAAUGGACAACUUUUAUACCAUAAAAAUGCAGAAGGAACUGUUAAAAAUUCAGCAAAUAUUUUUGGAAUCCCUCUCAGUUGCCUAUGGUACCGUGGUCUUUCAGCAGAACGCGUUGAUUCAUACUAUGGGUAAAUAUUUCAGGGUGAGAAGAUUCUGUUUCAUAUGCAAUUAUAACAAAAUUAUAACAACUAUUUAGUGAAUCUUCUAUAGUUUCUCUUUUGUUAUGCCCCUCCCCCCCUUGGUAAGUAUACUACCUUUGCGUUUAUCGGCUAUGUUUGUUUGUUACACAAGUCUCAUGGUUUGUGGAUCUUUUCUUUCAGAUUCCAGCGCCACAAUUGCAUUGUCUUAGCUCCUAUCAGGGUUGGAUGGUUCUGUUGGUUAUCUUCCUUGCGUGUGCAUCCACGCCAUGGUACUUUUUGUUGCUAGGACACAAUGGUAGUAUGCUUGAUCUAUAUGUAAGAGAGAGGGGAUUUGUCUUUUCAGCAAUGUAAGCUUGCAAGUUAAAGGAGCAAUGUAAGCUUGCAAGUUAAAGGAUCUUGUUUUGUAGUAUGUUCUAGGAAUCAGUUUUGGGAAGCCAAUGCUAUUUAUAAAUAAACCCAUUUAUCGACUAUGUCCAACAUUAAUUCUGUGACUCAUUACAUUAGUCUGCCAUGCUUUGAAGGUGGGCUCUAUCAUGUUAUAUACAAUAUCUCACUAAAUCACCCUUUUGCCAUUAUCGCAAGGACCACAUGUUAUCAAGGUGGGCCAUACCAUUAUUGCCAUAUCAUCCAUAUAUGAUGUGGUAAAAUCUCAAUUGCUUAAAUACGUGUUUAUCAUUGUUACAUAAUAGUGUAAGGUCAAAUAUAAUAGCUUGGAUGAUAAUUUUAUUGUUUUUAUAGAUGAACACUGAUCUGCCUGUGUCCUUAGCGCUCUACUUUGGGUUCUCAGUUAUCAUGAUGUCUAAGUAUGAUUUUAUUAUGUUCAGCCGUAUAUUUUGGAAUCAAGAAGCAUAAUGUUUUAAUUUAAGAGGGCUUCGGUGCAUGACGUGUAUUUUUGAUUACAGGGUGUCCUCAAUAAUAUCAUCCAGGCAUGCAAUUGUUUCUGCUGGUUGUGCAUUGGAAGCUCUGAAGCUUGUCUCUGCCUACAUUAUAAGUGUGUCAAAUUAUCUCCCGUUUGCCACAAAAACAAUUUGAUCAUUUCUUGUAAGCCAUAUGGUCAAAUUUGCUUCCCAAAUUUAGCCACUGAAACUAUCUUUGCUAUUGAAGACAAGAUCUACAUCUGAUUGUGAGAAAUAUCAGUUCGUGUUGCUCCUGCAAAGUAUCAACUCAGCCACACGUCCUUCUUGCUCAGUUGGCCAUGGUUGGGAGCCAGGGAGCAUCACGGCGUAUGUUCUACUGGGUAGUGGCAACACGGCAUGAGGGUACGACACUCAGGCAAUCGGUUGUACUCCUUUAUCUAUUUUGUGUUGCUCAAUAUAUUUUGUUUAAAUAUUAUAUGUUAAUAAGGCCUUGGUAUCUGUUGGUUAUUCCUUGGUUGGCCUUUCCCCUUUUCUCUUUUCCAUGUGUUGGUUUGAUUGAAACUGUAGCCUUUUUUGUAUUUUUUGAUUCAGUUCAGAUGUUAAAACAAUUACGUUACUUUCGAAAAAAUGCUGAUGUGAUGUCUCUGAAUUUCCUUUUUCAUGUGUGUUCUGCUAUCUCUACCAAAGAUUCAUGUCCGGGCACCUAUCAUGCCUGCUAUGUGAAACCAUAGGAUUUCAUAUAUUUCCCUUUACAUUUCUAUAUUGAGUACUAAGUAGCUUGUUCAAUUGAGCAUCAGGAUGUAGAUUAUCAUUUUGCGUGGUGAGCUCAAAGUAAGUAUCACCAUAUAGUUGUGAUCGUGAUAUUAUGAGCGUUGCCUUAGUAAUAGUUUUUUUUUGUCUCAGUUGCACUACACGGUACUAUAUAUAUUCAAACUUCUAUUUUUCCUUUCAGGGAUUAGAUGAGUAUGAAACAACGGAGUUGAUGCCCAUGUGUGCUUUCGCUUUACGUGUUUCAUUUCUCUUUACGUGUUGCGUUUAGGUGGGCUGCAGCUAAAGAAACUGUACUUUUUGUUCGAGGGAACUAUGUUGGUUUAAUCCGUUUAAUCAUUAUAGAUAUUGACAAAGAUAAUUGAAAUCCACAAAUGUGUGCUUUCUACGCUUCAGAAAUAUGCACAAACUUUAUGGUCUCUAAAGUUGUCAGUGCAAAAGACUACUGAAGGUAUUGUUUCUUUCUUUCUUUUCAUACCUCCAAACAUUGGUGCAGAGGAUACUGAAGUUAGAGUUUCUAUACGCAAAGAGGAAUACUCCAUUGUGUAUAAACUAUUAUAGAGCUCUUAGAUCUAAUGCAUAAACAUUUUCUAAUAGAUAUGUGGAAUUUUAAUUUGCGCCUUCGCGGCAACUUGAGAAAGAACCAGUCAAUAUGUCAGUGAUAAGUUCAUUCUCCGGAGUUGCACCUUCUUUUGUCUUUAAUUGUAGCUCACAAUCUCACAUGUUCAUGAUAUAUCAUUGCUCCUUGGUAUUAUGUUAUAUUAAUUUAAGUGUGUUGUGCAUUGUUCCAGGAGCCCCCCAAGUGUAUGAAGCAUGCAAAAAGGACAAAUGUGACCGCAGAUUAUGUUAACAGUGCUCUCAGCCUCAGGAAUGUUGAGUUUUUGUAGGUUAUGUGAAUUGUUAUGUCAAAGAAAAUAUAUCUCUGUUAAUUGCAUUGUUAAAGCCUAUUUCAUUGUGACUACCUGAAUUAAGAGGCAAUGCGAAGAAACGGGAGUUUGGCUGUUAGAGAAAGAAAGGUGGAUACCAUGUUCUGAAUGCGAGUGAGCUGUUGCAGAAACAAAGGUGGAUGCCAUGUUCUGAACGCGAGUGGGCUCUUAGUGCAACAAUGUGAAAGACUUCAAGGAAAUGGAAUUUCUGAUGCAAUCAUGUUUAAUGAAUAUAUAUUUCUAAAUUUACAUGUAUUACAGAUGCUCUGAAUCGGCAUGUUUUCCUUGCUCCUUUGUAGGAGUUUUUUUUGUUUCUUUUUCGUGUAAAGCUUGCUGCACCUCCCUCUUGUCCUGAUCAUGUAUUUUUUUGCCUUGAUUAACCCAAGGUACAUGAUGAUUGUUAUUGAUGUUUGUUACUAAUUUCUAUUAAGAUAUGAUUCCCAUCA